Molecule: long non-coding RNA, 314 nt
Organism: Austrofundulus limnaeus
Lineage: Eukaryota; Metazoa; Chordata; Actinopteri; Cyprinodontiformes; Rivulidae
Exons: 3
Source: RefSeq, a predicted model, not a curated record
UCUUCCAGCGUACCUUCCUCAUGCCUUGCUCUUGUCCUGUGACCUCGACCCCGUUCAUGUCCUCUGGUUCUUCGACUCCUGCCUCAGCCCCUGACGGAUAGUCUCUGCUAUCACGAUGACCCUCGCCUUUCUCCUCGGAUUUACGUCUCGUCUUACCCCUAACGGCACUUCCUGGUUCUCGAACCCCGUCUGUCUCCCAGAUUUCUGGUCUUCAGCCAACCCAAGCAUUCAGAUCUAGCAACUGGAUUUUCUUGUUGGACCUAUUCUAAAGAAAACAGAUUUCCGCCAUUUUUUUGGGUGUGGCUGUGGCGUAG